CGCGUAGGCGGAUAUAUAAGUCAGAUGUGAAAUUCCGAAGCUCAACUUCGGAGCUGCAUUUGAAACUAUAAAUCUCGAGGAUUGACGGAGAAAACGGAAUUCCACGUGUAGCGGUGAAAUGCGUAGAUAUGUGGAAGAACACCGGUGGCGAAAGCGGUUUUCUAGUUUAUACCUGACGCUGAGGCGCGAGAGCAAGGGAGCAAACA
This 206-nucleotide ribosomal RNA is filed under the name uncultured bacterium. Its description in RNAcentral is "partial 16S ribosomal RNA". It matches the Rfam family "Bacterial small subunit ribosomal RNA", at positions 568 to 774 of the family's 1533-position model. The record is from RNAcentral.